This 429-nucleotide ribosomal RNA is filed under the name Triticum aestivum (bread wheat). RNAcentral's name for it is "partial small subunit ribosomal RNA". Lineage: Eukaryota; Viridiplantae; Streptophyta; Magnoliopsida; Poales; Poaceae. The record is from RNAcentral.
AUGUCGUCCAUUGCUUCUCUCAUCGCCUCCAGGUCCAGCUUCGCCAGGUGCGGCCACGCUCUCCCCGCCGCCAUCUCUCAGACCCAGCACGCCGCGUCUCCGCUGCUCUCGGGGUUCGGAUCAGCGGCUCGCGCUUUCAGCUCAAGGCCUCUAUGGAAGGGAGCGUUCGUCGACGCGUUCCUGCAGAGAAUAAAGAAUAGCGGGGGGAGCCUGAACGGCAGGAAGAUCUGGUCUCGCCGGUCUUCGAUCCUGCCGGAGUUCGUCGGCUCCUCCGCGCUCAUCUACAACGGCAAGACCCACGUCCGCUGCAGGGUCACCGAAGGGAAGGUCGGCCAUAAGUUCGGGGAGUUUGCUUUUACGCGGAAACGGAGGCCCCAUCGCGCGAUUACGGCGAAGAAGGCCGGUGGUCAAGGAAAGGGGAGGAAGUAG